AUUGAACGCUGGCGGCAUGCCUUACACAUGCAAGUCGAACGGCAGCGCGGGAGCAAUCCUGGCGGCGAGUGGCGAACGGGUGAGUAAUACAUCGGAACGUGCCCAAUCGUGGGGGAUAACGCAGCGAAAGCUGUGCUAAUACCGCAUACGAUCUACGGAUGAAAGCAGGGGAUCGCAAGACCUUGCGCGAAUGGAGCGGCCGAUGGCAGAUUAGGUAGUUGGUGAGGUAAAGGCUCACCAAGCCUUCGAUCUGUAGCUGGUCUGAGAGGAGGACCAGCCACACUGGGACUGAAACACGGCCCAGACUCCUACGGGAGGCAGCAGUGGGGAAUUUUGGACAAUGGGCGAAAGCCUGAUCCAGCCAUGCCGCGUGCAGGAUGAAGGCCUUCGGGUUGUAAACUGCUUUUGUACGGAACGAAACGGUCUUUUCUAAUAAAGAAGGCUAAUGACGGUACCGUAAGAAUAAGCACCGGCUAACUACGUG
RNAcentral lists this ribosomal RNA (484 nucleotides) under uncultured bacterium. Its description in RNAcentral is "partial 16S ribosomal RNA". It matches the Rfam family "Bacterial small subunit ribosomal RNA", at positions 30 to 507 of the family's 1533-position model. The record is from RNAcentral.